Molecule: RNA transcript, 18237 nt
Organism: Falco peregrinus (peregrine falcon)
Lineage: Eukaryota; Metazoa; Chordata; Aves; Falconiformes; Falconidae
Gene: FAM117B
Gene name: family with sequence similarity 117 member B
Exons: 10
Source: RefSeq, a predicted model, not a curated record
CUAUUGUUGAUGAGGCGCACGGAGGCUGCGGAGGCAGCGCGGGCAGCCCCGGGCCGGGGACGGCGGCCAGGGGGGGACGGGGCCGCCACCGGUGCUGCCGCCGCCGCCGCCGCCUGAGGCGUUGGAUCCCCGCGAGGACCCGCCCGCGCCGCGCCUCCCCCGCCACCGACGGCCCUCCGCCAGCCCCGGCUCCCAACGGACAAUGUCCCACCAGCGCGUGAGGCGCAGCGGCUCCCCGACCCCCGCCACCUCCCUCGGGGGAGGGGGCGCGGCGGCGGCGGCGGGGGGCGGCGGCGCGGGAGCGAGCAGCCGCCUGCAGCCCAUGCGGGCCACGGUGCCCUUCCAGCUCAAGCAGCAGCAGCAGCAGCAGCAACAUGGCAGCCCCACGAGGAGCGGCGGCGGCGGCGCGGGCGCCCUGGGCGGGGGGCUCCCACGCGCGGCGCCCGCCUCGCGCAGCGUCAGCCCCACGCGCGCGGCGCCCACCGGCAACGGCGCGCGCGGCGGCCCCGCCACGGCCACGCAGACGCCGGGGGGAGGGGGCAGCGCCGCCGCCGCCUCCUCCUCGCGGGGCAGCCCCACGCGUGCCGGCGGGGCGCGCGGCAGCCCCCCGCGCUCCCACCACCUGCCGCCGCCGCCGCCCCCGCCGCCGCCGGGCUGCGGACCCUCGCCCUGCUCCUCUCCGCUGCCGGAGGGCAGCGCCGCGGCGGCGGGCAGGGUCCGGCACCGGCGGCACUCGCCGGAGCAAGGCCGGAGCUCCCCGGAGAGGAAGAGCCCCAGCUCCCCCGUCUGCAAAGCUGACAAAUCAAGACCACCUUCAUCAAGCCCUUCCAGUAUUAUUCGCCGGACUUCCUCAUUGGAUACGCUUGCUGCUCCGUACCUUGCUGGACAGUGGCCUCGUGAUAAUCAUGGACAAGCUGCUCCGUGUAUGAGAGACAAAGCCACACAGACAGAAAGUGCCUGGGCUGAAGAAUAUUUAGAAAAGAAGAGAAGCUCGCACAAACGUUCAGCAUCGUGGGGGAGCAAUGAUCAACUAAAAGAGAUUGCAAAAUUGCGUCAACAAUUACAGAGAAGCAAACACAGCAGUAGGCAUCAUCGCGAUAAAGAAAGACAGUCUCCAUUUCAUGGUAACCAUGCAGCCAUUAACCACAGUCAGGCUCCCAUCCCAAAGAGUGCUCUUGUUCCUGUGAUACCUAUUACCAAAUCAACAGGAUCACGAUUCCGAAACAGUGUAGAAGGACUGAAUCAGGAGAUUGAGAUAAUAAUUAAGGAGACGGGAGACAAAGAGGAGCAGCUUGUUCCUCAAGAUGUUCCAGAUGGGCACCGUGCACCACCUCCGUUAGUUCAGCGUAGUAGUAGUACUCGCAGCAUUGAUACCCAAACACCUGGUGGAGCAGACAGGGGUAGUAACAACAGCAGCCGCUCCCAGUCAGUAUCUCCAAUCUCAUUUCUUACCAUCUCUAACGAAGGCAGUGAAGAAAGUCCGUGUUCUGCAGAUGAUCUUCUUGCCGAUUCCAGAGAUAAAGAGAAUGGGAAUAAUUCCCCUUUGCCAAAAUAUGCUACCUCACCAAAACCCAACAACAGCUAUAUGUUCAAGCGUGAACCUCCAGAGGGCUGUGAAAAGGUGAAAGUCUUUGAGGAGAGCUUUGCGUCCUCUGAGAGUAGUCCUGAGAAUCUGCCUUUCCCCAUCUUCAUCUGCAGUAGGUUUGAUCAGUUCCUGAGCACUUUACAAUUCUGCUGUUAGAGGAAGAUGCCACAAGCCCUGGAUUUUGGGAACAGAGAGAUUCAGCAUGUGUUCUCCUGGGAAUGAAGGUAUGGGAACAGGACUGAGAAAAAUGACCUGGAUUCCUGCUGGUAGGUUCAUAACACUGUUCAGUAGAACGCAGCUGCCGAAGCCUACCUGGGAAGGUACUUAAACUGUUCAUUGAAAUAGUCUCAUAUUCUGCAUGUUUCUGUUCGCUCAAAACAAGCCUCUUCAUGAGCAGAAUUCGGGUCCCGGGCUCCUUUAUGUUAGAAAUAAUGAGCUAGUUAUGUAUUUUGGGGUUUCUUGUAUUAAAUUUGUCUAAUUCAUCUGAAAGGCUUGGAGCAGUUCCUCUUCUGGAAAAUGAUUGUCGGCUAUAUUUCUUUCCAGAAUGAAGAGAGAGGUAGAAGAUUUCCCUGAAUUUUGAGGAAUUGCAGGAUUUCCUGUGUAUACUCCUCAAAGCAAGGCUGGCUUGUGCUUUUCCAUCGGUGGAAAGGGUUGGGCCAAUAAAUGCAACAGCAGCAGGAAGUUUCACAGCCGGAGUCCACGGGUAAAUUCGUGCCCAACUCAGACUACUUGGUUGAAAUGUAAAAGAGGAAUUCACAGCUGCUGAAGCCUGGAACCAACGCAAGAGUCUUUUCUGUAUUUGAUAUUUUCUCACAUUUUGUUCUUUUUCAGCUGUUCAGUUGUCUGUGGAUAUUUGUCUGUGUCCAGGUGAGCAAGACCUGAUUCUUUACUAAACAGGCUGUUGACCACAUUCUCUGCUAAACCAUUUUUUCACCACUAAUUACAAACCUGGUAUUUAGGGUUUCAGGUAUGUAAGGAUGACUUUACUGUAAAUACAUCUGGUGUUUAAAUUCUUUUUGCAUCUUGUACUACAUACAGGGAAAUGGCAAGACACGUUAAGAAGCUUACAAAGAUAAUCUACGAAGACAAGGAGAACUGUAAGAGUAACUGUGUGGUGAGCGGUGACAGUCUUCCAGUUCUUGAUUCACUGUUCUCGUUGUGAGCAGUUAUGUUCCUCAGUUAGAUAGCUGCUCAUUUUGUUUCCUUGGAUUGUUGGAGAGUGAUCCAGGCAGGAGACUGGUUAGGAGAAUUUCUCAGGUAUCUCUCUUUUUUUUUUUUUUUUGAGAGGUCUAACUGCAUACAAAAUUGGUAUAGAAAUUGUAUGCCAAGGCUGCAUGUGUUUUAUCCUACCCCCUUGUCCUUUUGGUGCUCUGGUCAGCAUUUGGAAGUUGUGUAAGAUGAUUGUUCCACCCAGACUUUGAAACUUUUCAGAUACUACUAUCCUAAAAUAUUCCUCCUGUAUACAGCAUUUACAGAAGCGCUGUUCAGCUGCCAGACAUGUACUGCAAGCAAAGUAGAACACUUGGUUAAAUCCUGCGCUUAGGAGCAGGGGUACCGAACUGCUGUGGUGAGGCUGUUGAUGAAGACGCUGUUUGUUACAUGGUAGAUUGUGGCUGCCUUUCCUAACUGUAGAUGUGUAGCUGACCAGUGUAAGCAAUGUUUCACUGUAAACACUUAAUUUCCUUGUUGAUGAAGAUGGCUGCUGGGGAGGUUUCCCUGUUCCCUAGCAGUGGGUGCUCCACUACACGUUUGUGAACAGUGAGCACUGCCAGAAUUUAUCAGGCUGUGUGGGUCAGAUAGGCAGGAGUUGAGAAUUGUUCUGUUUGCACUCCAUCUUUCAGAACCUAUGAAGUUAAUUACGAGUUAGAGCAGAACUUGACCUAUGAUGUUGGUACUGGGCAAAUAACAAAAAGGCUACGUCCUGGCCUAGCCUAGAUCUUUUGCAUGGCUUUUGCAAAUCCAAGAUUUUAAUCGUGACUUAAAAAUAUUAUUCUGUAUACAGAAUUCAUAUAAGCACUGCUCAGCUGCAAGACAUAUUCAGGUGCUGUGUAGGGUAGAUGAAGAGCUGCAGCACAAUUUGGUGUACAAUUUGCAGGUACAAUUACCUGUAAUUGCUGCAGUUAAUGCAGUUAACGUCAGCUGGGAAACUACAAACAAAGCUGAACAGGCAGGUAAUUAUGAGUGAGUUCUCUCUUGAGAUGAGGUUUUUGUUUCCAUUUUCUUUUUAAAUAGAGCAGUUUGUUCUUUUUUUUUUAAAAAAAAAACAACCACAAAACACACACACACACACACACACACACACCCAAAACAAACAACAAACUCUAGAGCAUUCUCAACCUUCUGUGAGUUGUAGAUACUUAAUCCCUUGUUAAGAGGUUGCUUAACAGCAUGUUCCUGUGCUGUGUGUGGAACAAUUCCUUUUCCUCACACAAAGAAUGAACUUUUCCUAAUGACUUUUGAAGGAAUUUGUAAGCCAUGUCUUCAGCCCAUAAAGUUGACCUUCAGGUUUCUGGGAGAUGUUUGCUAAGUCUGAACAAAUUUCUUCAAAUAAAACUGCAAGGGGAUGUCCUUGCCCCAGGAGUAGGAUGGAUGGCAGCAUCUCCUGCAGGUGUGUAGCAGCUGCCGUCCCAAAUCACUAAUAUCCAUCCACACCAGGAGCUAAAUACAGGGAAAGCGGCAGGUCACUUAGUUCAGGAGUCACAAUACAGGGUGAUUCUGAUCUUAAACUGCAACCUCUGGACAGCAUCAAACAGCUAUUCAAAAACCAUAGUUUCACAAACAUGUCUUCAGCUGCAUUGCUUGUUUGAAGCAGUAUCACCUGCCUGCCUGUUCUUCUCUUCCACAGCAUCUUCAGUUAUGCCAUACCUCUCUUUUUAGAGCCACAGCCCCAGUUAAAGUCCCCUUUACAACCCAGUGCUGUUCAGUCAGAGCUGAUGGGAUCUGAAAUGGAAGAGCAACUAGCAUAAACUAAAAGAAAAGUUCAGACUGUGUCCUGCAGUGUAAUUCUCUAUGGCCGAAGGCUUACUGGAACCCACAGAGGGUUGAUGCUAUUUUUUUAUGCUGCAAGAAGUUAAUUAGAAGUUAAGGCAGAGCUUGACCAAUGUCAUCUUGUACUAGGCAAAUUCAUAAAAGAGCUACAUCCUGACCUAAUCUGAAUAUUUUUUGUGUGUAUUUCUUUGGCAAUAUCAAGAUUUUAACUGUGGGAUUCCCAAGUGCCCUCAUCUUGGCACACUGGACCUAUAUUUCUAACUGUGGUAGAAACUGUGUAGAACCUAUACUCAAUCUCACUACUGUUGCCGAUAGAGGUCCUGUGAAAUUGCAGAUAGUCAGCAGAACAGUUCUAAAGCUUUCAAAGUGCAGGUAAAAACGAAGUCAUGGCUUCUUCAGAGUUGGGAAGUGAUAGCAUCAUCCUAUCUACCUUUGUCCUAAAUACGGUUUUGCUGUCUCAGAGGUGUGAGUCCGAAGCAUGUGAUUUCCUUGAAGAUAGAACAAUUUUUAAAAGUCCAUUGUAUGCCCUGGAGUGUUUUCCUGGAACUAGUAUUUGCCUGCUAACCCCAGGGAUUUUAUUUUUAGAAGGCCAUGGGAUAAAAGUAAUUAGCUAGAUCUAGUCCCAUCCCGUCGUCCUUUUUUUUUUUUUUUUUUUUCUUCUCCUCUCUGUGAUGCAUCAGAAAACAAAUCUUUUCUGCAUUGAACUUCACCAACUUAAUAGGCUUUCAAACAGCUACCAAAUGUCCCAAACCCAGGGUGUUAGAAACUGAUUUUUCUUUUAAAGCUCAUUGUAGGAUCCUUCAGUGUUGUUCUCCUUGGAACUUAAAUGUCCACCACCAUGCCAGAUGAUGGGUGUAUGUUUGGAGCAGGAUUUUAAGCAUUCCUUGUAAUGGUAAAAUGAAAUCAGUCUGUUUUGAAGACAACUGCAACGAAAUACCAUUAAUACUUGCUCGUUGGGUAACUCUGUAAACGUUAAGCAGUUCAUCUGCUGAAUAUCUGGUGGCAUCUGGAUUCAAAAGGAGAUCCAGGUCUGCGAAAAGACUGAACCACAUUGAUGCAGCUUCAGUCACAGCCGCAGUCAUACUCUGAACAGCUAGAAAAAAAAAAGAUCCAAGUAAUGUUUUUUUUAAAACUAGUAAGAUUUUUUCUUAAAAAAAAAAAUUAAAUUUACCUCAGGAUGUUUCCAUAGGCAAACAAAUAACAACUGAAGCUUUUUCUUGUCUCUCAGCGAACCAGAAACGCUGGCCUGACUUGCAUUGAUUGGUACGUGCAAUGAAGUGGGAGACUGUUGCGUUCAACCAGUGAAACAGUUCAAAGUAUGUUACAGAUCAGCUGGAAUUGAGGACUUAGUGAAGUAGAAACUGUUGGUGUUUCUUACCGAAAAAUAUUUUGUAACCCAAGAUAGAACACAGUCUGCUUAAACCUUUUCUCCGUCCCUCAGCAUGAGUUCCAUAACGUGAGACUGAGUACAGCCAGUGUCAAAUACUGUGUUUAUGUUCCUUUUUUCUUUUCUUACUGGCACGUUUUCUGGCACUAGUGGAACUUAGAGUAUGCAAAGUAUAGAACAAAUUCUCUCCCUGUGCCAAGAGCGUAGUGCUGCUGUCUUAACAUUGUGUCAUCUAGCGCUUUCACUUGGAAGUGUAAAACGUGGUUGACCUCUGAAAGAGAGAAAAAAUGGAUUUGUCGUAACUUCUCAAGUAUAGUGGGAGCCUAAAAGGACUGUAGGACUAGAGGUCACAUGCUGGGUGGUUUGUUUUUUCUCUGUUGGAAAUUCAGAUGAUAUCACUUCUGCUGAUUAACUUUUUGAGAAAUAAUGAUUUGGAGAUCAACUACUGUGAAAUAGUUACUAGAUCCAGUACAAGACACAGGCUAUGUGGUGGUGACUCAUUUGCUAUAAAUUGGUACUUAUUCCAGUUGUUUGGAUUUUGUUUUUCCUUUGAGCAGCUUAAGGAAAUAAUGCCCAAGUAGACAGUAUUAACUGCAUCAGGUAUUACCCUUUUCUGAUUUUUGUGUAGUGCUGGACGCUACAUAUUUCAUGCUUAAAAACAUGCUUUAUGAUAUGUACAGUUAUUGUAGGAAUUGGAGAUUCUUGCUUUUGGCUGAAGUACCGAUACAGAUUUAAGGAACGCUAGAUCUAUAUUUGUCACGUGCAAGACAGUCUCACCUAAAUCUUAAAAUCUGGGGUUUUUUUAGUAGAUUUACUGGAAAAUGUGCAAGAACUCAGUUUAUUCUAUGCAAUCCAAGCCUAUUUCUGACUCUAUUUUCUUUUAUAGUAGCCUAAAAAAAGCAAACCGGUUGAGUAUUUUAAAAUGUAUGUUUGAAGAAUGUGAAUUCAAAUUACAAAAUUCUGAACCCAACAGAUUUUUGAGAAGUGUUUCAGAAGAUGCAGCCCUCUUCCUGGAGAAGAGGGUGGUCCACACACAGUUGCUUCCUGCCUGCGUUAGUCAGUAGUGGAAUCAAAAGAUGCCGAGGGUGCAGAGAGGUCCGUGCUUCUGUUCCUUGCGAUGCCUGUGUCUCAGGUUAUAUGGUGGCUGAGUAGCUUCCCCAUCUAGCAGCUGUAUUUAUCUCUGAAUAUUUUGACGUUGUUCUCAACAUGCGCUUAUGGUCUGAAUGGUGCAAGCAUUUCUGUGCCAUAUUGUGAUUGCUUGGUAAUCUAGACUUGCCCCUAAUAACAUUACAGUCAUUUUAAACUGAAUUAUUUUGCUAGGAGAGCAUUGCUGCUGUUUACAAUGGAAGUAAGACCUAGUCUUUCCUACUGAAAAUAUUAUGGACCUAUGAUUUUUUGCAGAUUGCUUAAUUUUGACAUUUUCAGCGCUGUGAAGAUAAGAAGCUGGAGGAACUGGCUGUGCUUUCUGAUCAGAAGACUGUCACACGUGUGCCUCCGACUGGGAAGCAUUUGAAAAUGUAUCCUAGCAUCUCAGGUUGUGCAACUGAUGGUCUGGCGGGCUGAAACACUCCCUCUUCCCCUUGCAGCACAUUGUGUGGAAAUACUAAUGAUGUUAACAUGUUUCAGUACACAGCAUUUGGGUUUUUUGAACCAUCUGAGCUACAGCUGAGGAAUAAUGAUUUAUAUGAUACUUAUUGUUGCUGUCUAAGCUUAUGGUAUUAAGGCUGAUGGCAUGGAAAAGCUGCUCCAUCUGCUUUCUCUUCUGAAGAAUAUUACUAAGAAAUGUCAAAGAGUAAUUUCAAGCACAGGUGUUAAAGGCAUUUUUGUUGAAUUUUCUUUUUUCUGGUCUUAAAAGCUGAGAAUCAUCAGGGUUGCUUAUCUGCGCAUUGUUUCUUCAUUGAACUUCUGUCUUCUGAACUUCUGGAGUAACUCCAGAAAUAAAAAUAGGCCUGAGCUGAAAAAACACUGCCAGAAGAGCUGAAAAUUAAAGCCAGGAGGCCAGAAGAAAUUCCCAAACAAAUGUGUAUGCAUGGGGGUGAUCAGUCCCAUCAUUAUUUGUUAAAGAAUUAAUUAUAUAAAAGUUAGAUGACAAAGUAUUUGCAGUAGUAUUGUUUAAAGGUUACAUUAUCCUUGCAAUAAUUGGGUGUUACAUUUUGGAAAGUUCCUUUAAAAAGGAUAAGGAGAGAUUUGACUUUGAGUCUCCAUUGUUUGUAAUAUCCUCUUUCAGCAUGAAAACAUUUUCCGUUCCCAUCAGUUUUGUCUUUUUAUUUGGCAAACAUGAAUAUUUUUCCUGAACUUCAAGUAGAAUGAAAAAUUGUUAUUUUUGUUGGCUUGCAGACAUUGUAGCUUCCCCUCCAGUAAAACUGGCAGAUUUAUUUUUAGAGAUGUUGUACCAGUAUAUACCUUUAUUUAGUUGUUUAGUGAAAACUAAUUAAACAAGCCUACAGAAAAGGUUUAGUUUAGGGCUUGCUUGCAAGAUUUGAGUGAGCUGUACGUGACAGAGAAUGUAGUUCUCUGUAUCUGCGAAUAUGCAGUAAGUUUUACUCAAUGGUUACGCAGCUAUCUGCUUAGUGCUCUUGGCUGUCUCCACCUCCCUCUACUCUAGCUCCAAAGGGACUACUUCUGACAUUCCAAACUGCUGAGCAGCUUUCCGACAGCUGCCAUUGAAAUCAGAAUGAAAACAAAACUCUUUUCUUUGCCUUCUUCCCAAGUGUGGGUCAGGUGAAGCCAGAACUGGUUUCCUGCAUGUGCCAGCUGUGCACUGCUGCUCCGUCGCUGGUGUUGGUGGUCACCUCUGGUGCGCAGCAGUCCCCUUACGGAGACAGCCAACGACCGAGAGCUGGAGUUGCACUUUGAGAAUGAACAAUACCAUAGGCUUUGCAGUUCUAAGACUUGGGGAUGUGAGCCUCUCUGCAUAGAGGGAACUGCUUGGCAUGUCUGGUGAGAUGAUCUGGGAUACUUAGUGAUUUACCACAUCACUGUGGUGUUGGACCUUAACCUGUAGUAUUCGCACAUCUAGAAAAACUAUCUUAGGUGUCUUUCAGAUGUUUAAUAAGUUUUAACUUACCCGUUGCUGGUAAUUAAGUUAACCAGGUGAAAGAUUAAGCACCCUUUGUGUUUUCUGAAAAUUUUUUUAAAGAAAAUACAUUAUAAUAAAGCUGCUGGUCCUUUACCUGUUUGGAUAUUUCCAUCCACUUGGUCUGCAUUACAAUAGAUACAACAGUCUGGGCACACGUACAAAGAUCUCGCUUGAUAGCUUCUCUGUGCUCUGCCUGCUUCAGCAGCUUGGCCCGCAGUAGCCUGCAGGACUUCAGCACUAUAGAGGACCUGCUGCUGCCCUUCCUGCUCUGCCUUGCUGGUGUGAAACUGGCUGGCUCCAUGGAGCAGCUCUUUGCUCUGCACCAAAAAGUUGUAACUGACCCAUGUGGAUGUGUAGCUGAUCACACGUGAUAGCAUUUCUUCCUCUGCUAAUCUGCUGUGCUGCGUGAGGAUGAAAUUCGCUCUGAGAGCAAGUUCCUUCCUGUGUGGCUGCGUGGGUCCUGGCACGAGGGGACAAAGAGGGUUUAGGUCACUGGGGAUGUGCACGAUUGGGAUGGAUCGAUACUGUCCAGUGCGCAUUGUCUGUUAAGGUGACUGUUAAUUGCUGAGCUAGCGUGUCAAGUUUCUUGAAAGAAAAUUGCUAUGCAUUCAUGUGUCCUACCUGUCCCACUUUCUGUUGUGACAGAAGUUUCUUUGAGGAGGUUAAGCUGAAUGGAAUAAGAAUUAAUUGAUCAGAGAGUGGUCGUGAUGCAGGUUGCACUGAAAUUUUAGUUGCUCUACAGAGAAGGAGAGCCUGCCUCUCCCUUGCGCUGCUUUUGUAUUUGGCCAACACCAGCUACUUCAGUGGAAAUACCUCUGACUUUGUAUUGACGUCAGGGAAAGGAGGUUAUUGCUAUAGAGAACUUUUGUGCACUUUGCAUGUAACUACAACGUCAUCCUGGAGGUGAGUGUUUGGGGCAGAAAAGAGAGUUGAAUUUUCCUUCACCUUCUUGUUUGCUCAGAAAAAGCACUGAAAAGUAGCUACUGGAGAGACAGAGACGGAGAGACUUCUAGAAGGCGAGUAUCUACAUGAGUAGGAAAGUUGUUGCACGGCUCCUUAUGGUGACUUGUUUGUGGUGAUAAGCACAUUCUUCUGACAGUAGAUAUUUGUUCUCCAGGUGUGGAGGGGGUGUGUUUGGUUUGGUUUUGUUUGCUGAACCCACUCAUGAGAUACAAUUGAUAUCAGUGGCUAAAAAAUGUACGGAGAUGACAUGUCUUUGCCUCCACUUAAAUCAUGGUGAACUUGUUGGCAACCAGCACUUUCUGUAAUGUAGACAGUACUUGUAUGGAUGAGUGAACGUUCACUUUUUGGAGUUCCCUGUUUUGCUUGCAGUUGUGAGGAUACAGCUCCUGGAUUCACCUUUCAUCUGCAGUGAUGCUCCUCUGUAUUCCAUGGAGGCUGGUCGUUCCUGAAUGUUGGUAGUUCCUGCCCAAGGUGAGACAAGGGCCAAUCUGAAGGUAAAGGAAGAAAGAAUGGUAAAAUAAAAGAGCCCAAGUGAGCAGAAUGUUUUGGGGAAACAUGGAAGAAGUGGGCUGAGUUUAACUACAGCAGAGUUAAAAUAAAGACUUCAGCCUUCAUGUUUUAUCAGCAUUCACACACAGGCUGGUCCUCAUUGCCUUCUUAGCACAUGGCAAGAACGAUAAUAAAUGCUGAGCUAAAAGAUGGUACGUGAAGUUGAUUUUCUUCAUUCUGUGCCCCAAAGUGUAAAAGUACUAGACAUGCACGUUCCAUAAAUGCAACCCUGUAUUUACAGCAGUAACAGGAACCUCUUUGCAUGCUUGUGGCCAAAAAUGCAUCCAAACGCUGCGAAUGCCCAACUUAGGUGAUGCUUUUUUUAACUUUUAUUUUCUAAUUGGAAUUCCUGGCACUCUGCAUAUAAAUAGAAUUCAAGUGUCAUACGGUAAUGGCGAGUCUUACACUUUCACCAACUCCCAGUAGACAAGUGGGUGAAGGAUCUGGCUUUGAUAGCAAGGUGUGUGUGUGUAUCUACCCAGCAGCAGUAUUGAACUCGCCUUCAAUCUGUUGACUGAAAAUGUCCAGCAAUAGCUUGACUGACAGCAGCUAUUGCUUAUUGGUGCCUGGGCACUUCAGCAGUAAGAUCCCUCCUGCAGAACUGCAUAGGGCUCUGCCAAGUGUUAGCGUAUCAGGCUGAAAUUUUGGAUUUGGUGUAUCUCUGUGGGUGAGCUUAUGUUACAUUUGGUCUGAGGUGGCUGUGCAGCCCCAUCUGAACAGCAGAAGGAUGUAUGGGGAAGAAAUAGAACGGGCACGCAGUUUGAACUGUCUCAAAUGAUGGGGAAGAGAGGGGUGUGUGGAGCUCCCUUUUAUCACCAGAUCACCAACAUGCACUAGCUUGUACUUUAUAUACCUCAGAGUUGAGGAAAGUGGUUUUCUCUUCAGGUACAAAAUGGCUUUUACUUUUGACAUGUCCCUCCAAAUACCUUUGUACUGUAUAUAUGCAUAUACUUGUCAUAUAUGUACAUAUAUGUUAUCUGAAUUGUACCUUCAACUGACGAUAGCAGUGCAUUGAACUGAGUGAACACGGUCUAUUAAAAAAAAGUUGAAAACCUUCACUGGGCAGAAGAAGGGAAAAUCCUUGACAACUAUCCUUUUUCCAGUGUCACUUGCAUUCUGCUCUGCCUGAAACAUUAAUAAGAGCCCUAGCUUCUUUUCUUCCUCAGAUAUGGCUAUGAAAAGUAGUAAUUGAAAAAAUAAAACGUGGCAAUUCCAAUGUAUUGACUAUUUUUAUCAUGAGUACUCUGGGGGUGAAGGAACAAACGCAUUGUUCAGACUGGUAAAAUGCAUAAAAAGACCUUCAGGUUGUGACAACAUUUGCAGCUAGAUGUGGCGUACGUGGGGCUGGGGGAGGAAUUAAUUAAAAAAUGACUCACUAAUGUCCAUGUCAGCCAUCAUGUGGAACAAUGGCAAAAUGAUGGGUGUUGGGAAGAAAAAAAUGGCUAAGGGAUAUAUAGGCAUGCUGCAAAGGAAGAUUAAUAUUUUACCGUACUAUUAAAUCUGGUAUUUUUUGCUGGUUUUCUACUUAAAUUGAGCUUUGGGGCUUAAGGCGGCACUCCUAGCAAUGUGACAUUUCAGGUAAUUUUAAAAAGGGAAAUUUUUCUGUUCUUUUUUUCGAGACUCACGAAAGUCUAGAAAAAAUUAUCUGUGAUAUUUACGUAUUUUUACAUAUAUAUAUAUAUAUAAAAUUCCCUAAAUAACAAGGCAAAAAGUUUAAAUGAGGGAGCAUGUGCAUAUGUUUUUAUGUAUAUAUUCAUGAACUUUUUGAAAGAAUUCUCAGUGUGUAAUACUUUUGAAAUGCUCAUUACAAACAGCAGACAGCACUUCGAAAGGCUAUCUAGUUGUAAUGUAGUUCUAAAUAUUAAUUUCCAAACAAUUUCCUAUAAAUAUUCCUAACAUCUGUAAAAUACAGCUUUUUACUCUGUCCAAGGUGUUUGUGGGUUUUGUUUGGUGUGUGUGUUUUUUUGUUUAUUUAAGGAUUAAGCAGUAAAGGUGUAAGGGAGGGGGAACAUUUCCAUAAACUUCUUCCACCUUAGUAAUCCUGAUGUGUGUAGUAUGCUGUGAUUUAUAAUGAGUAGCAUGCUUGCAAUUACAUACUAUUAUGCCAGCAUUUAAAUUUUUAAUUGGAAAGAUAUAAAAUCCUUUUUAAUCCAUAACAUUUUUUAGUAUAAGGUACCAUUGAAGUUUUCAAGGAUUAUAAAGUUUUUCAUUAAAUCUUCACUAAUAGGCCCUGUAAAGUUAAGUAGGUUGAAUAUUUAACAAAGGAAUUUGUUUUCUUCUCUUUGUGAAAAUGCAGCAUUAAUGUAUUUUUUUCAUAAAAUCUUAGACCCAGUUUCUCAGAGGUCAAUGUGCAGCAGUGAUUGCCUCCAGAGACUGUAGAUGUUUUAAUGUAUUGUGAUGGUAUAGACUAUAUAAAUAGAGAAAUUAUUUAUCUCUAAUGUUACAUAUUCAUUAUUUAUUUAAAUAGUAAGAGCAACAAAAGGAAGAGCAGCCUCAAACCAGAAUAAACUUCUCACUACAUAUGGUACUAAAAGUCCCUGUCAGUAUUCCUCAGUAUUCCACUGCUCAGUGGCAGAGAUCUGUGCAGGCCAUGUGAAUGAAACAAAAAAACAUUCAGAAGGAAAUGUUGAUUCAUUUUUUUGUGAACAGAGUAAGUUAUACUAUAACAUUAAAUUAUGUAAAUAUAUAAAAAAAUUGUGAGUUUUAAAUGAUAAAAUUUAAUUUGUAACAGCAUUCUUUUUUCUCAGAGCAGUCAAGCUUUCCAGCAAGAAAAAGAAAACAAGCUGCAAGUCAAGUUGAACAGAAUUCUUUUUCAGGGGUCAUGGAGGUAUUUCUGGUGAGAGGGUCUUGUGUCAGUAUGGUGUUUCCCCGUGUCAGUAUGGUGUUUCAUGGGGUGGCAGUGCAGCAGAAUCACGUCCAAGGACUAAGCCAGAUUUCUACUUGAUACAAACAGAUGACGUCUCUGUUUGAAACAAGAGUCGAACUUGAUUGCUGACAAGUGCUGAGUGUAAACAUUUUGUAAACAAUUCAUGAAAUACGAUCAAGACAAAAGUUACACCCAUAAAAAAGCAAUGGUUCAUGCUGUUUGGGCCUUUCAUUGAAGGUAAUGAGGACCGCAGGCACGGAGGGAGGAUUAGCUUCUGGAGAAUGGGUACUGGCUUAAUUUACAGGGGUGCAGAUACCAGACUGUGCCCGUAGACCAUGGGUGAUGCCUCUUCACGGAGCCCUGCUGUUUAGCGCAGGCGAGCUGUUAGCAACCAGCGCUGGUGCUUAUCAGUUGAGCAUCACCUGUGCUUCCUUCCACUGACUCCCUGUCCUUCAGGUGCUUGGUAGUUCUUCUGAAGGUGGGAAAAAAACUAAUAGCAGAGACACUGGCAGAAUAAAUGUCAGUGAUCAAAGGUGUGACAAAGGCUGAUACUGCCUGCUGUAAUGGCCCUAAUGUUGUAAUAUAGUUGGUAAUGUAUGUGGGAGGAGAAAUGCAGUGGCGAUGCAUUAGGCACCUGGAGUGCCUGCUCUCUCAGGACAUGCUGGCCUGAAGGUCAAACCCAAUAUAUUUAAAUGGAGGGAGACUUUUGCCUCACUGAUCUUGAAAUGCCUGUGAGGAAUAAGAAACUAGUAAGAUACUUCAGUUCUAAAACAUGGAGUGGGUGGCAAAAUAAGGAGAAUAAACAACAAGAAAAGACUACUGCAGCGGGAAAUUAAAAAGCUUAUGUUUCUCUGUAAAUUUCUACAGUAGCAGCCCCGCAAACUGCUGUGUCAAAAUUAUAAAAAAUAAUUGUAGAAGGCCAGUAGGAAAUGGUGAAAGCAAUACUUGAGCCAGCUAAACAAAAUUACUAGCUUCAAAUGUGUCUGUCAAGGUAUGAGAGAUACAGUUCAGACAUCCCAAAACUGAAAAUAUUUUUCAGUUGCUGCAUUAUACUGCAGCAAGCUGAGAAAAGAUUAGAAAUAGUGAUUUCAUUAAUAAAAACAGAAUUUUCUGGUACAUAGUCUAAUAUUAUCAUCAUCAUUACAGUAGAAUUAUCAUUAUUCUAUGAUCUGGUCAGAUAAAAUUUUGUAUCUCGUAAUCCUCUGUUUACAUCUAGCAGGCAAUACUAUAGAUACUGCAGAGAUUCAGAAUGGUGUGUGGUGGGAUGGUGCCUGGGUUGCAAACUGCUCUUCUGGCAAAAAUGAUGGCUUUUUAACAGGACGCUCUGGACUCGCGCAUUCAAAUUGCAGCAGCCUAGAGAAUGGUAAAACUGAAAUAGGAAAACAGUACUCUCUUCAUCUUCUCAUCUUUGGUGAGUUCAUGCUGGAUUCUGUGGUGCCAGUAUCUCAGGCAGCAUUUUUCAUACUAAACAUCUGUUGUUUUGAUUCCUUUGUUUAAAUAGAUUGGAUUAGAAGUGGAGAAAAACCAUCAUUUCCUCCCCCACGCCAUUCUGCUCCAAGGCUUAGUUACUAUGAAGACAAAUCUUAUUUAUUUCCUUCCAGAAAGAGCUUCACUGACAUGCAGUAUUAGAUUUUUUGGAAACUGGUUCUGACUCAAUUUUCAGCUAUGUCAAUAUACAAGAUCUAAUUAUUGUAAAUUACAUUCAGAUAAGGCUGCGUGUAAGCUCCUCUGUAAAUCUAUAUUAAGUCCAUUGAUUCUGAUAGGCUUCACUGUCUUAACUGACAUGCUCUGGAAUUACAGCAGGGUGACUGAAACCAAAAUCUGCUUAGAUCUGUGCUGUUGAGAUCUAGGAAGCAUUUUGUUUAGUGUUUUAACUGCAGGUGAUAACUAUUGGCCGUAGUGCAGUUUUCUGAGAAGCAACAGAGACUGUCCAUUGAGGGUCUUUAUAUGGCCUUAAACCUAAAGGCAAAACCUUAUUGUGAAUUAAUUUAUUAUUCUUUUAAAUGCUGUGGAUAUAUCAAAAGGACCACUUGCAUGUUGAUGCAAGACAGAAGAAAGUUCUUUUGUGUAACACAGAGAAUAUACUUGAUCCCUGUUCCAAGUAAUAAAAACCUACUGCCAGCAAAUUCCAACAUUUCAUCCUGUGCAUGAAGUCCACCAAAAUAAUGAUCUCCUAAUCCAAGAGAUGUGCUGAAAGUUAAGGUCUCAUUUGAAAUUGAGAGUGGAAGAGUCAAACAUCACUGUGAUCUUAGCAGCACGCAGAUGGAUUCUGGGCCCUGAUGGAACAGAGUGUAAUUCUGUCAGAUUUGGACUUUAUAAUUUUAUUUUUUUUUUUAGGGACAAAAAGAGUUCCCAAACUUGCAUGAACCUUCCAAGAUUCAGGCUAAAGUUGAUGCAGAACGUGAGAGGGAAAAGAUAGGUGAGAGAUUGAAAUUUGUGCAUUUUCAAUUAGAAAGCAAAUUACUGUAUUUACUUUAACAGGGGACAUUAGAGAUGUUUGCUGUGAGUCCAAACCACGUUGUAGUAUGAUCAGCUCUUCCCACGAAUGCACACACACGCCACACCUUCCAGACUCUGGUUCAAAGUACAUGUUUUCAGCAGAUGCCUCUGGGUGUCCACAUUCGGUCAGCCACAUACCUUCAGGCUUAGAAUCACACAAGUGAGGGGUUUAUGUCCCCCCAGUAGCCUUCAGUGCUGCAAGUACUUUAAAAAAGGAAAGUGUAGUUUGCCUGUUCUUGUCAACCUCCCGAUCCCCAGACAAGCCCUGUGUGACAGAGUGUUCCCGAUCUGGCCGGCAGACUCCAUGGUAGCGCUUGGGUUAGUGCAGGAAACUCAGAAGUGCUGAGCGGUUCCACCAGACUUCCAGUGCACGCAGGGGUGUGUGCACAGACGUGGCAGUGACACCAUUUAGAGAAAAAUUUAAGAAAGUUCUCUUUGCUCAAUAGGUUCAGAAAACUAAUGCAAUUCUAACACUAGAUACCUUUUUCUUGGGCUUCUCAAAUGAUGGCUGAGACUGCCCUUUUGAAAGUAACCGGUGCUUGUUAGUGGCAGGAAAAAUGAUGCCAUUUUCAUGUGUUCUUAUUCUGCCUAUCAAUUCAUACUGACACUGUUCACAAUCCUCAGGUUUAACUCUGAUUUGGCACCCAGCUCUGCAUCAGAUGUCGCCAGGUAUUCAUCUUCAUUCUUUGGUGGGCUUGUUUCAGUUUCCAGUAUUUCUUCUGCAUUUUUUCAACCACUGGCCAAUCCUUUGACCUGUCUUGGGUGCAGAAAUCCAUGAGAUAGCUCUGUGUGUGUGCAUGUGUGACAGGCUCAAAUGUUUUUCAGCUGGGACAGACGUAGAGUUAAAGGAGAGCAACUAAGUCAGUGAGCAUUUCCUGAGUGUUCUUCCAAGUGAUCUCAGCUACGGUUCACAUGCAGUUUACAGCAGCUGUGGUCUGACCGAAGAUCCCUCCUCUAAAUUUAUAGACCAUAGACAAUAGAAAGCAUGAUGAGAGGGACCCUUUUGGAGGAGCGAUCUAGAUUAUUGGGAUGGUUUGCUAUAACUGGUAUAUCAUAUUUCCCCAUGCAGCUUUUUGUGAAUUCUGGUUUGCGUUCAGAGGUUGCAAACAUUUAAAGAAAGGUCUUUGCUGAAAUUAUAAGCUGAAAGUCUCAGUAGCAAUCACAGGGCAUUUAUGUUGAUGUUUAGUUUUACAGACAUCUAAACUCGUACUAAGAUCCCCUGAUGGUCACAGGCUACUAGUUGCCCAAUGGAAUAAAUCGCAAAGAUAUGCAAAGUUGACAUUUUGAAGUUUUGGAUAUGAAUAUUGCAACUGAUACAGAAAUUUACAUUUUUGUGGUUUGAGUUAAGUUUUCAGCAUUCCAUACGGUGCAUGCCUUGAUUUGGAUGGCUUGGUAGACUCAUCCAGAUGGAGCAGCUGUCUUUCCUCGACCAGGCUCAGCCAGCGUUUUGCUGGCAGCUGAAAAGCCACUCAUUUCAUGCUAUUUACAGGACAAUUUAAAUUGGUUUUCAUGACAAUGAAUUUUAACCCAAGUUUUGCCCCUAAUUUGGGAUCUCUGCCAAUGUGCUUACAUCAAACAAAACUGGUGACUUAACUCAGUUGGCCUUUUUUGGGGGUAUGAAUUGGGACAUAAGCCAGUGUAACUGGUUGCUGUCAGACAGUGGUGUGUGCAGCGACUUGUGGCUGUGUCUCCCACCUGGGCUGCCCAGGCAGGUGCCAGCUGCCAGGAAGGCUGGGGCUCAGGCUGGCCUUGGUGCUAAACCAGUGAAAUAGCCGUUCUGUUUGCUGGGAUGUUGGGCUGGAAAUCAAGGGUAGGUUGUAGUUCUGCCCAUCAGAACAGGAUCAUCAGCUUUGCUGUCUGCAAUGCUGUCAUCUUAGCCACAACUCUCCCCCAGAGGUGCAGCAGGGAUGGUGUGAUGGGGCAUCCUGCCACGGUUGUGCGUUCUCAAAGCACGUUAGGUAAAACCUACAGGCAAACAAAAACUAAUCCUACCAAAUGUGAGUACCUUUUUUUAUUUUAAAAUACUUAAAAAAAAAAAACAAAACAAAAAACCCCCAAGGAAACAAAAAGAUGCAAUAAAACAAAUAAAAGCAUUAAAUGAAGCAGGAUGAUAAUCCAUAGUAUCUUCUGCUGGGCUGGGGUACGUGGGGGCCAGCUUGGCAGCCCCGUUCUGACAAAAAGUAGAAAUCAAAAGUCAGGUGUGUUGACCUAGUUCACAUUAAGUAUUUAAUCUGAUAAUUUUCAUCUUUCCUACAGCAGGGGAAAAGAGUACAUGCUGAAAUUUCAGUGAGGUCAUGGAACAGAUCUGCCCAAAUCUGAUG